RNAcentral lists this ribosomal RNA (218 nucleotides) under uncultured Staphylococcus sp. RNAcentral describes it as "partial 16S ribosomal RNA". It matches the Rfam family "Bacterial small subunit ribosomal RNA", at positions 143 to 354 of the family's 1533-position model. Lineage: Bacteria; Bacillati; Bacillota; Bacilli; Caryophanales; Staphylococcaceae. The record is from RNAcentral.
AUAACUUCGGGAAACCGGAGCUAAUACCGGAUAAUAUAUUGAACCGCAUGGUUCAAUAGUGAAAGACGGUUUUGCUGUCACUUAUAGAUGGAUCCGCGCGCAUUAGCUAGUUGGUAAGGUAACGGCUUACCAAGGCAACGAUGCGUAGCCGACCUGAGAGGGUGAUCGGCCACACUGGAACUGAGACACGGUCCAGACUCCUACGGGAGGCAGCAGGC